Molecule: long non-coding RNA, 1653 nt
Organism: Chelonia mydas (Green sea turtle)
Lineage: Eukaryota; Metazoa; Chordata; Testudines; Cheloniidae
Exons: 3
Source: RefSeq, a predicted model, not a curated record
UUGUUCCUGCUGCUCCGGCCUGGCACCCAGCCUUGCCUCUGCACUGCCCCUUUCCUUAUCUGGAGGGCCGGCCCUAGGCACCAGCCUAGCAAGCAGAUGCCUGGGGCAGCAAACGGGAAAGGGCAGCACUGCGGCAGCUUUCGGUGGCAUGCCGGUGGCAGCUCCUCCGCUUCCCUCUUCGGCGGCGUGCGUGCAGCAGCCCCUCCUCCCGGUUUCUGUUCGGCAGCACACCUACGGCAGCUCCUCCACUUCCCUGUUUGGCGGCAUUUUCCUUCUCCGGUUGGGACGGCCAAAAAGGUAGAGCCGGCCCUGCUUACCUGCUAUCGUGCUCGCUCCAGUUCUUGACCUCUGGUUUGACCCUCGGCUCUGGUUCCUGACUGGCUCUGGUUCCACACACACUGAUUCGACCCUUGGCUCAGGUACUCAGUUUCGGCCUUCUAGUUUUAUGCUUGGCCUUGGCUCCCGAUGACUGACUACGGCUCUGACCCCAGCCGCCGGCCACAAGGUCUGCUGCCCGCGCUGCCCACAAGGUGGGGAAGCUGAGUAACAGGUGGGUUAAGUAACUUUCCCGAAGUCACAAAACAAGUCAGUGGGACAAGAGGAAAAAAGGAGACAAAACUUUUCCUUGGGACAAAUGAAAGGAAAUUCACUGUUUUGUCUCUAGUGAAAUCGCCCCAUGCUGGGACUGAAAAUUUUGGAAGUGGAAAUGGGAAAACCUCACCUCAGAUAACAUUUGAGUGGUUGCCACGAAGCUUGGCUCUGGAGAGGAAAAUCAACUUUUACGCAGCUACACUAUUAAUACUACCUUAUGGGAGUAUUAAAAUAGUUCACUGAAACAAGGUCAAUAAACUACAGCUGUAAACCAUUGGUGAGACUGACACUGAAAGGAGAGAGUGUGGUCUGGAGGAUCAGAGUGAACUGCCACAGACAUUACAAACCCCACACAAUCAAGUGUAUACCUUACACUUCACUUUAUAUCGCUGCCGUGUUUUAUGAACUGGGCUUGAGUUUUAACUCUGCCCUGGUUUAAAAGAAUCUUCACUUCUCAGGUUAACAUUAUGACAAACGCUGGAGUUCAGCUGGCAUCCUUUUGUCUUUGUUUAUUUAACAUUAUGUACUGAGUAGUCCCCUUUGGAGGUUUAGUUUGACUGGUAAAUGAUAUGGUAUUGAUACUUUGAUGCUAUGUUGACUGAUGCAUUAGAAAUCCCUAUGUUAGAUAGAAAGGUUUCAGUCUGACUUUUGCUGGUCUCAGCUCAUUUCUCAAAUAGUUCCCAUUCAGAUAUGCCAAGAGGGCCAGAUGAUGUGUGGCCCUUGGCAGAGGGGUAGAAAGGUGAGGUAGGAUGCACAGGAAAUGAAUGUAUGAAUAUAUAUUUGCUUGUGUUUUACUACUAACACCUUAGUUUUAUUAAACAAAAGGUUUUCUUUCAACUUUUGACUUUGCUCUUUUUUCCCAUUUUUACGUCCUCCACGUUGGCCAAUGGUUUCUUUUAUGUUUGUAUUCAUUCUUCUAGUCAGUGUCAGCUGCUGCUGAUUCUGAUGCAGUCCUGAAAUGCAAUGAUCAAAUCUAAAUUAGAUGUACAGGUAAGUCCAACUAGGGUGACCAGCUACAUUUCAAGGAAAUAAAGGACAAUGCCAUGAAAAAUAGUGGCCAAC